This is a long non-coding RNA of Homo sapiens (human), 832 nucleotides long. Ensembl annotates it as long intergenic non-protein coding RNA 1198. Lineage: Eukaryota; Metazoa; Chordata; Mammalia; Primates; Hominidae. The record is from Ensembl.
ACCUGCCUUCUGCCCUUAGGCUCCGGUAGACUGCAAAUGACCUGCUUUCUUUCUGUUCCCGGGCUGCGUUUGGACCCCUGUCGGAUAGUAAAUCCCAAGUAAGGUACCUGCCCUCGGCAGAUUUGAGCUUUCUUCUUGGACACCUAAUACCCACAGUCCCCCAGGCUCCGGUAGACUGCAAAUGACCUGCUUUCUUUCUGUUCCCGGGCUGCGUUUGGACCCCUGUCGGACAGUAAAUCCCAAGUAAGGUACCUGCCCUCGGCAGAUUUGAGCUUUCUUCUUGGACACCUAAUACCCACAGUCCUCCAGGAAUGGAACAGAUAAGAAGAUACUGAAAUUGGACGGUGCUGCCGUGCGGCUGCCGCAGGACACCUUUAAUAUCCCUGUUUCUCAGGCUGUAGAUGAAGGGGUUCAGCAUGGAGGUGAUCACCGUGUACAUCACUGAGGCCACUGCAGCCUUUCUCGGGGAAGAUGACACAUCUGAACUGAGGUACCCUCCAAAGCCUGUUCCGUAAAAUCAGCAAACAACUGACAGGUGAGACCCACAGGUGGAGAAGGCCUUAUACUUCCCACGUGAUGAUGAAACCCUCAGAAUGGAGGAAACAAUUUUAUAGUAAGAGAAAAGGGUCCCCGAGAUGGGAAGAAAACCAAAUAUGGCAGCAGGCAAAUACAUGAUUAUGUUAUUGGUGAAGGUGUCACAACAUGCAAGAUGGGGGAGUUGAGAAGGGUCACAGAAGAAACUAGGAAUUUCCGCAUCCUGGAAGCAGGUCAUUUGUAAGGCAAUCAAGUUGUGCAGCUGGGCGUCUAAAGGACUGAGAAAAAAAAAAAAAAA